This is an RNA transcript of Neodiprion fabricii, 1168 nucleotides long. It is a transcript of the gene named F-box/LRR-repeat protein 15, with no coding region annotated. The record is from RefSeq and is a predicted model, not a curated record. The transcript is spliced from 4 exons. Lineage: Eukaryota; Metazoa; Arthropoda; Insecta; Hymenoptera; Diprionidae.
UUACAUUUUCCCCUACAAAUAUAGUCUGCGGUAAACGUAACGAAAUGUGAAGACAUACUUUUGUUGACUCUGAACCCAACUAAAAUACGUAAAGUAUUCGCUAAUCGUACACAAUUCAUAUUAUGUAAAAUUAUAUAGCAAUACACUAAUAUUGGUUGCUGAGCGUGUUUACUCACAGUUGUAAAAUAUAUCAUUAUUCGCUACUGUCUGCUGUGUCAGCAUUCAACAUCCAAAAAAUACUAUUAUGGUACAUUUGGUGGACUUACCUUGGAUGGAUGUGAUCUAUGCACAUAUUUUUUGCCACUUGAACUUACAGGAUUUGUUUCGCUUGCGAUGCGUUUCAAAAGAACUUUGCCUUCUUGUUGACAAAUAUUUCAUUCCGUGGCAAUCGUUGGACCUUUCUGACUAUGUUUGUAUUGGACCUGCUGCUUUUGGAAACACGUUGGUUCAACCAUGGAUGGACUAGGUUCUCUUUCUAGUCAUGUCAUAAAAGAGAGGCGCUGGACUACUUAGUUUGAUCAUUGAUCAACAUACUAAAAAAAUACAUAUGUGGACUCAUCUGAUCUAUUUGUUGCAUUGCUUCCAAAUAUACAAUUCAACCAUUGAUCUGUUUCUGGAGACCUGUUAUCCACUGAAAACAAUUUUUGGCGAGUUAUUCUGGCAGUUUCUCAUGUAUAAUUUUUUUUCUUUUUCACACAAGGUAUUGGUGCAAUCUUGUAACAACUUGAAAUACGUUAAUCUAAAAAAGAAGAACUGGCUUGACAGUAUUCAACUCAUGUUAUUGUUACACAAGCAUCAUAACUUGGCAGUGUUAGAUCUGAGCAGUUGUAACAAUGACUGGUUGCAUCACGGUUCCAUUGAUAUUUCAAAGUGUGAGAAUCUCACUUCAAUAAAACUACAGAAUUGCACAUGGGUUACUGAACGGUUCUUAUUGAACUUAGCACAAUGCACUAAAUUGCAAAAGGUGAUAUUGGCAGACUGUUAUCAAGUAUCAGAUCAAGCAGUAAUUUCUCUUUGCCAAAACUCUGGAAGAUUGUCACAUAUUUCGUUGGAGAACUUGACCAUCUCGGACCAAACACUUUAUGCAGCAGCACUGUACUGCAAAACCAUACAAGAAUUUUGUCUGAGGAGAUGCUUAAGGAUCACCGAUGCAGGGUUACUAUCACUG